This 445-nucleotide ribosomal RNA is filed under the name uncultured bacterium. RNAcentral describes it as "partial 16S ribosomal RNA". It matches the Rfam family "Bacterial small subunit ribosomal RNA", at positions 354 to 796 of the family's 1533-position model. The record is from RNAcentral.
GUGAGGAAUAUUGGACAAUGGGCGCAAGCCUGAUCCAGCCAUGCCGCGUGCAGGAAGACGCAUCUAUGGUGUGUAAACUGCUUUUGUACGGGAAGAAACACUCCCUCGUGAGGGAGCUUGACGGUACCGUAAGAAUAAGGAUCGGCUAACUCCGUGCCAGCAGCCGCGGUAAUACGGAGGAUCCAAGCGUUAUCCGGAAUCAUUGGGUUUAAAGGGUCCGUAGGCGGUUUAAUAAGUCAGUGGUGAAAGCCCAUCGCUCAACGAUGGAACGGCCAUUGAUACUGUUAGACUUGAAGUACAAGGAAGUAACUAGAAUAUGUAGUGUAGCGGUGAAAUGCUUAGAUAUUACAUGGAAUACCAAUUGCGAAGGCAGGUUACUACUUGUGGAUUGACGCUGAUGGACGAAAGCGUGGGGAGCGAACAGGAUUAGAUACCCCAGUAGUCC